This 127-nucleotide small nucleolar RNA is filed under the name Eschrichtius robustus (grey whale). Its description in RNAcentral is "Small nucleolar RNA SNORA30/SNORA37 family". It matches the Rfam family "Small nucleolar RNA SNORA30/SNORA37 family". Rfam says of the family: The members of this family belong to the H/ACA class of snoRNAs that guide the sites of modification of uridines to pseudouridines. This family includes human ACA30 (SNORA30), ACA37 (SNORA37) and the mouse homolog MBI-26. The record is from Rfam by way of RNAcentral. Lineage: Eukaryota; Metazoa; Chordata; Mammalia; Artiodactyla; Eschrichtiidae. RNAcentral also lists the same sequence under 1 other name.
CUAGCACUUUCACAGGUCCUCCCCUGGGCAGUGGGGCCAGGAUUUGGUAGCUGGUAUUGAAAUUGAAAACCCUUGAUUGUAUCCUUGCCCUGGGACUGUGUCAGUGGCAACUGUCAGUGGGACAGAG